CCAGCUCCAAAGCCACGAGGCUCGCGACACACAGGAAGACUGGCCUUCGGGCUUGAUCUUUCCCUCUCGCGAGCGGGCUAAGGUCUGAGUAUUUUCGCCCCCAUUAUUGGCUCCAGACGGGCCCUUUCUUAACGGAUUGGCGGGGUGUACCAGAAAAUCGGCUGCUUGUUCUCACUCCAAAGACUCCGCGAGGACGAGGGCAUAGGUCAAGCGGCCUUGGGAAACACUUCGGGGGUUGGGCACACUGCUGCUGCCUUUAGGCCGGCGGUACAAGUCCUUUAGUGCACUUCGUGGCCCGCUUUACGCGCUUCGUCGCUGGCGGAACUCGAUUCAGACUACUCUGGGACUGG
Molecule: RNase P RNA, 350 nt
Filed under: Cylindrobasidium torrendii FP15055 ss-10
Lineage: Eukaryota; Fungi; Basidiomycota; Agaricomycetes; Agaricales; Physalacriaceae
Description: Nuclear RNase P
Rfam family: Nuclear RNase P
About the family: Ribonuclease P (RNase P) is a ubiquitous endoribonuclease, found in archaea, bacteria and eukarya as well as chloroplasts and mitochondria. Its best characterised activity is the generation of mature 5'-ends of tRNAs by cleaving the 5'-leader elements of precursor-tRNAs. Cellular RNase Ps are ribonucleoproteins.
Source: Rfam by way of RNAcentral